This 468-nucleotide ribosomal RNA is filed under the name uncultured bacterium. RNAcentral describes it as "partial 16S ribosomal RNA". It matches the Rfam family "Bacterial small subunit ribosomal RNA", at positions 28 to 507 of the family's 1533-position model. The record is from RNAcentral.
GACGAACGCUGGCGGCGUGCUUAACACAUGCAAGUCGAACGGAAAGGCCCUGCUUUUGUGGGGUGCUCGAGUGGCGAACGGGUGAGUAACACGUGAGUAACCUGCCCUUGACUUUGGGAUAACUUCAGGAAACUGGGGCUAAUACCGGAUAGGAGCUCCUGCUGCAUGGUGGGGGUUGGAAAGUUUCGGCGGUUGGGGAUGGACUCGCGGCUUAUCAGCUUGUUGGUGGGGUAGUGGCUUACCAAGGCUUUGACGGGUAGCCGGCCUGAGAGGGUGACCGGCCACAUUGGGACUGGGAUACGGCCCAGACUCCUACGGGGGGCAGCGGUGGGGAAUAUUGCACAAUGGGCUGAAGCCUGAUGCAGCAACGCCGCGUGCGGGAUGACGGCCUUCGGGUUGUAAACCGCUUUCGCCUGUGACGAAGCGUGAGUGACGGUAAUGGGUAAAGAAGCACCGGCUAACUACGUG